Molecule: long non-coding RNA, 296 nt
Organism: Lontra canadensis (Northern American river otter)
Lineage: Eukaryota; Metazoa; Chordata; Mammalia; Carnivora; Mustelidae
Exons: 3
Source: RefSeq, a predicted model, not a curated record
UUUGGCUUAUGAAAGCUUUCACAGAACGCUCUACUUUCGGAGACUGGGGGAAGCUGCAGUUAGAAUAAUGCCAGGUAUUUCCUGAAGCACAUUCUCCUCAGAAACCUUACAGCAAGGAAGGUGCUGCCAGCAGAAGAGGAUGUGGGCAUUUCUCGGUGCUGCCUGAGAUACCAUCUUGGUCGUAAAAGCCUCCAACCUGCAACCCCCACAACAGCAGACUCUGCAAUUGUUUCUUCUUGGUUCCCUGUGCUCAGAAACAAACACAUGUCUGCAACCUCUUCUGCAAGGCUCUUGGA